Molecule: ribosomal RNA, 228 nt
Filed under: uncultured bacterium
Lineage: Bacteria
Description: partial 16S ribosomal RNA
Rfam family: Bacterial small subunit ribosomal RNA
Source: RNAcentral
CGGGGUGAGCAAUGUCUGGGAAACUGCCCGAUGGAGGGGGAUAACUACUGGAAACGGUAGCUAAUACCGCAUAACGUCGCAAGACCAAAGAGGGGACCUUAGGGCCUCUUGCCAUCGGAUGUGCCCAGAUGGGAUUAGCUAGUAGGUGGGGUAAUGGCUCACCUAGGCGACGAUCCCUAGCUGGUCUGAGAGGAUGACCAGCCACACUGGAACUGAGACACGGUCCAG